This 327-nucleotide ribosomal RNA is filed under the name uncultured eukaryote. RNAcentral's name for it is "partial 18S ribosomal RNA". It matches the Rfam family "Eukaryotic small subunit ribosomal RNA", at positions 1470 to 1796 of the family's 1831-position model. The record is from RNAcentral.
CCCUUAGAUGUUCUGGGCCGCACGCGCGCUACACUGACGAAUGCAACGAGCUUAUAACCUUGUCCGAAAGGUCUGGGUAAUCUCCAAAUUUCGUCGUGAUGGGGAUAGAUUAUUGCAAUUAUUAAUCUUCAACGAGGAAUGCCUAGUAAGCGCAAGUCAUCAGCUUGCGUUGAUUACGUCCCUGCCCUUUGUACACACCGCCCGUCGCUCCUACCGAUUGAAUGGUCCGGUGAAGCGUUCGGACCGUGACCUUUGGACGGUUCGCCGUCUGUUGGCUGUGGGAAGUUCGUUAAACCUUAUCAUUUAGAGGAAGGAGAAGUCGUAACA